GUGGAGUUAAAUGAGGUAGUAUCAGGGUUUGGAGGAGCCUGUGACAUCACUAGGAGGGGCUUGUGACAUCAUGGUUUUUGGAAGUAGCAAGUAUCUGGUUACUUUUUGGCAGGAGAAGAGGCAACGUGGGAAGAAGGUUAUCCUUUGGUAAGUGGGAGAAGCCAUCUUUUUAGUUGUCCUGCAUUGGGAUGUAACAUCUGGUGUUCUUCAGCAGAAACAAAGGCAACAGUUAAUAGUUUAUCAGCACAAUCAUUACCAUAAGUAAGUGGACCUGAGAGGAUUAAUUCUUUCUCGAAGGAGCCAAUGAAGAGCCUGCAACAAUCCAAAAACAGGAGAAGAUGCACAAAGUACAGCUAUGGGAAGUAGAG
This 368-nucleotide long non-coding RNA is filed under the name Fukomys damarensis (Damara mole-rat). RNAcentral describes it as "lncRNA (ENSFDAG00000022726.1)". The record is from RNAcentral. Lineage: Eukaryota; Metazoa; Chordata; Mammalia; Rodentia; Bathyergidae.